GACGAACGCUGGCGGCGUGCUUAACACAUGCAAGUCGAACGGAAAGGCCCUGCUUUUGUGGGGUGCUCGAGUGGCGAACGGGUGAGUAACACGUGAGUAACCUGCCCUUGACUUUGGGAUAACUUCAGGAAACUGGGGCUAAUACCGGAUAGGAGCUCCUGCUGCAUGGUGGGGGUUGGAAAGUUUCGGCGGUUGGGGAUGGACUAGCGGCUUAUCAGCUUGUUGGUGGGGUAGUGGCUUACCAAGGUUUUGACGGGUAGCCGGCCUGAGAGGGUGACCGGCCACAUUGGGACUGAGAUACGGCCCAGACUCCUACGGGAGGCAGCAGUGGGGAAUAUUGCACAAUGGGCGGAAGCCUGAUGCAGCAACGCCGCGUGCGGGAUGACGGCCUUCGGGUUGUAAACCGCUUUCGCCUGUGACGAAGCGUGAGUGACGGUAAUGGGUAAAGAAGCACCGGCUAACUACGUG
RNAcentral lists this ribosomal RNA (468 nucleotides) under uncultured bacterium. Its description in RNAcentral is "partial 16S ribosomal RNA". It matches the Rfam family "Bacterial small subunit ribosomal RNA", at positions 28 to 507 of the family's 1533-position model. The record is from RNAcentral.